This 426-nucleotide ribosomal RNA is filed under the name uncultured prokaryote. RNAcentral's name for it is "bacterial SSU rRNA". It matches the Rfam family "Bacterial small subunit ribosomal RNA", at positions 355 to 796 of the family's 1533-position model. The record is from RNAcentral.
UCAUGAAUCUUCCGCAAUGGACGAAAGUCUGACGGAGCAAUGCCGCGUGCUAGAUGAAGGCCUUCGGGUCGUAAAUAGCUUUUAUAAGGGACGAACAAAUGACGGUACCUUAUGAAUAAGAGGUUGCUAACUCUGUGCCAGCAGCAGCGGUAAUACAGAGACCUCAAGCGUUAUCCGGAUUUAUUGGGUGUAAAGGGUCCGCAGGCGGCCCGGUAAGUCAUUCGUCAAAUCUUCAGGCUCAACCUGAAGACUGCGAUUGAUACUGCCAGGCUAGAGACUGGGAGAGGCAUAUGGAAUUGCUGGUGUAGCGGUAAAAUGCGUUAAUAUCAGCAAGAACACCAAAGGCGAAGGCAAUAUGCUGGAACAGUUCUGACGCUCAGGGACGAAAGCGUGGGUAGCGAAAGGGAUUAGAUACCCCCGUAGUCC